GCUGUGGCUGUAGUCCCAGCUACUCCAGAGGCUGAGGCAGGAGGAUCGCUGGAGACCAGGAGUUCCGGGUUGUAGUGUGGUAUGCCAGGUACCUGCACCUUUGCUAAGUUCAGCACCAGUUUGGUGACCUCCCAGGAGCAGGGGCCACCAAGUUGCCUAAGGAGAGAUGAACCAGCCCAGCUCAGAAACAGGGCUCACAAGUUCUGUGUCGAUCAGUCGUGGGAUCUUGCCUGUGAGCAGACACUGCACUUCAGCCUGGGCAACAUAGCCAGAUCCUAUCUCU
RNAcentral lists this signal recognition particle RNA (283 nucleotides) under Saimiri boliviensis boliviensis (Bolivian squirrel monkey). Its description in RNAcentral is "Metazoan signal recognition particle RNA (ENSSBOG00000008472.1)". It matches the Rfam family "Metazoan signal recognition particle RNA". Rfam says of the family: The signal recognition particle (SRP) is a universally conserved ribonucleoprotein. It is involved in the co-translational targeting of proteins to membranes. Lineage: Eukaryota; Metazoa; Chordata; Mammalia; Primates; Cebidae. The record is from RNAcentral.